RNAcentral lists this transfer RNA (72 nucleotides) under Ornithorhynchus anatinus (platypus). It matches the Rfam family "tRNA". From Rfam's summary of the family: Transfer RNA (tRNA) molecules are approximately 80 nucleotides in length. Their secondary structure includes four short double-helical elements and three loops (D, anti-codon, and T loops). The record is from Rfam by way of RNAcentral. Lineage: Eukaryota; Metazoa; Chordata; Mammalia; Monotremata; Ornithorhynchidae.
AGCAGCGUGGCUCAGUGGAAAGAGCCCGGGCUUGGAAGUCAGAGGUCAUAGGUUUGAUUCCUGACUCUGCCA